Molecule: long non-coding RNA, 1604 nt
Organism: Amazona collaria (yellow-billed parrot)
Lineage: Eukaryota; Metazoa; Chordata; Aves; Psittaciformes; Psittacidae
Source: Ensembl
AGGGUUCCUUGAGGUGCAGAGCAGUGUUGACACUUGUGACUGCUCAGUCUCCUCACCUCUUACAGAAUAUACCAGUCUUGUGGAUGUAGAAAACAGGAAAAAUGCUUACAAGUAACAGCUCUGUGAAGUUCCACCAAGCUGCCAUGUAAUAAUGUUAAUCUGAGGAUCCUCCUUCAUUGUCUUCUGAUGCAAUUAAAGGAGCCAAAGGAGAGCUGAGGAGAACAACAAUCUCCAUGGGAGCAUAAGAAAAGCCAUGAGAGUGUAAAAGACAUACAAAAACUACGCAUAGGAAACAGGCUAGACAUUUUUAUGUCAUGCACAACAGAAAAGCAGGGCAGAAAUUUCAUGUACUCAGGCAGCCUUCUGAGGCCACCUUUUCCUUAUACCUCUGGGUUAGAGCCAGCAGGCUGGAAAAAUGCAGCAGAACAGCACAGCCCGAAGAACAAGACUCAGUGGGCUGUUCUCCAAGAGCCUGUGCCAACUGACCGAGAAGUUAGUCAGAAUCUAAAAUACAGCUCAGAAGCAAACUUGCUCCCAUAGUUUUGCUGCUUUUAUCAGUGGUAACACAAAACUACAAGGAACCUGCCAAUGCCUUCACUGCGUUAAAACAUGGUUGAACCUGCUGCUAACUCUGCCCUCAGUUUACUAAGUGCAAGACAUGGAGCCUUGGCCACACAGCUGAAGCUACCAGGCAAGAUCUUCUGAGGCAUUAACAGUGCUCUCUGACGGGCCAGAAGAGUUAGGAGGGAUUUUGGUUUUCCACCACUGGGUUCAAAUGUCUUCUGGGGAUUAGGAAAAAAACAAGACUGCAGAGAGGAGCUGCUCUAAAUCAGGAUUUGGAGAGAGAACAAAUCCAAGAAACGUUCUGAUAUCAAAACCACGCUGAGAGGUGCCUGAGGUACGAGUAUGGUAUAGACCCAGAUAUACUCACUCCUCUGUCUCUAUGCAAACACUUAACCUCUACACUAACCUUUAUCCAGCAUUCCUACUCUGACACAUUCCUUCUUUAUCCCCUUCUCUCUGCAAAUCUUCGUACUGUUUAUUGUGCUGCUCUCCAUCACAGGUGUUGCUUGAACUUGAGAACUGGGGCAUGGACAUGCCCGAAACUAUUUUUAAAACAAAGGCUUUGGCAGAGUGAAUUGUAACACCAAGGCCCUGCAGAACAGACUAUAGUCUCUGCACAACAUCAGGCUUCCAUUUCAAGCAGGAAUAACUGCAGCUUAAUUUAUGCUACGCUUCUGAAAUCACAUCUUAGAAGGGAUGCAAAUAUUGCUGUGCUUCUAAUUUCUUCCUCCCACAGAACAGCUGUGGAGAGUUAGGCACCAAACCAAAGCUCCCCAAAAGCUAAGCAAGGAGCUCCCAAGAAUGUUAGUGAGAUACAACAAGGCCAAGGUCCUCCUCUGCAUCAGACAGAGGGCAGGUUUGAAAGAAAGGCUCCCACUUUACACACAAAUGGUGAAAUAAUUCAUUUUCACCUAGACAUAUCCUUGACUGUCUUUGCAUAGGGCCUGGUCAAGCAUGUGUGUGCCACAAUCAGGUCCUGCAGAGAGCACUGGCUGAAGGAUGGCCAGUUAGAAAGCCUGUAACUGGGUGCAUGUGAGAGG